Small nuclear RNA from Balaenoptera musculus (blue whale), 110 nucleotides. The record is from Ensembl. Lineage: Eukaryota; Metazoa; Chordata; Mammalia; Artiodactyla; Balaenopteridae.
GUGCUCGCUUCAGCAGCACAUAUACUAAAAAAAUUGGAACAAUGUAAAGAAGAUUAGCAUGGCCCCUGCACAAGGAUGACAUGCAAAUUCGUGAAGUGUUCCAUAUUUUU